RNAcentral lists this ribosomal RNA (463 nucleotides) under uncultured bacterium. RNAcentral's name for it is "SSU rRNA". It matches the Rfam family "Bacterial small subunit ribosomal RNA", at positions 26 to 518 of the family's 1533-position model. The record is from RNAcentral.
AGAAUCAACGCUGGCGGCGUGCCUAACACAUGCAAGUCGCACGAGAAAGGGACUUCGGUCCUGAGUACAGUGGCGCACGGGUGAGUAACACGUGAAUAAUCUACCUCCGAGUGGGGAAUAACUGAGAGAAAUCUUAGCUAAUACCGCAUAACACUUACGAGUCAAAGCAGCAAUGCGCUUGGAGAGGAGUUCGCGGCAGAUUAGUUAGUUGGCGGGGUAAUGGCCCACCAAGACGAUGAUCUGUAUCCGGCCUGAGAGGGCGCGACGGACGACGACUGGAACGUGAAACACGGUCCAGACUCCUACGGGAGGCAGCAGUGGGGAAUUUUUGCGCAAUGGGGGAAACCCUGACGCAGCAACGCGCGUGGAGGAUGAAAUCCCUUGGGAUGUAAACUCCUUUCGAUCGGGAAGAUAAUGACGGUACCGAUAUAAGAAGCCCGGCUAACUUCGUGCCAGCAGCCGC